ACGAAGGUGGCGACCGUUGUUCGGAAUCACUGGGCAUAAAGCGCACGUAGGCGGUGAAGAAAGUCAGGUGUGAAAUCCCUCGGUCUAACUGAGGAACUGCGCUUGAAACUACUUUGCUUGAGGACAGGAGGGGAGCGUGGAAUUCCUGGUGGAGCGGUGAAAUGCGUUGAUAUCAGGAGGAACACCGGCGGCGAAGGCGACGCUCUGGCCUGUUUCUGACGCUGAGGUGCGAAAGCCAGGGGAGCAAACGGGA
This 253-nucleotide ribosomal RNA is filed under the name uncultured prokaryote. RNAcentral's name for it is "partial 16S ribosomal RNA". It matches the Rfam family "Bacterial small subunit ribosomal RNA", at positions 525 to 777 of the family's 1533-position model. The record is from RNAcentral.